This 494-nucleotide ribosomal RNA is filed under the name uncultured bacterium. RNAcentral describes it as "partial 16S ribosomal RNA". It matches the Rfam family "Bacterial small subunit ribosomal RNA", at positions 28 to 507 of the family's 1533-position model. The record is from RNAcentral.
GACGAACGCUGGCGGCGUGCUUAACACAUGCAAGUCGAACGGAAAGGCCUGCUUUUCCUUGUGGAUUGCGGGUACGCGAGUGGCGAACGGGUGAGUAACACGUGAGUGAUCUGCCCCCAACUUGGGUAUAAGCCCGGGAAACUGGGUCUAAUUCCCGAUAGGACUGCAGGGUGGUGUAUGUGGUGGCAGACGAGUUUCUAGUGGUUGAGGAUGGGCCCGCGUCCUAUCAGCUUGUUGGUGAGGCAAUGGCCUACCAAGGCGGCGACGGGGAGCCGGGCGGGGGGGGUGGACGGCUGGAUUGGGGCUGCGGUCCAGACCCGAAUGCGACGGAGGGGAAGAGAGGGGAAUGUAGCGCGAUGGAGGGUGGCCUGGUGCCGCGGCGCGGGGUGGGAGGUGCCGGCGUUCGGAUUGUAAUCUCCUUUCGACAGAGAGGAAGUGUACGUGUUGAUGGGGUGGUGACGGUAGUGGUAGAAGAAGCACCGGCUAACUUCGUG